AGAAGGAGAGUAGUAUUUUCUUUAGUAGUACACGGUACUGCACGCAGGAGGCUGUUACUAUCUCUUUAUGGUACCAUACGUUUGUUUUCUGUACAAUAAAAAUGUGUAGUCUUUAUGGGCUGCUUUUAGUCUCCCACAUCUUUAGCAUGACUUCAACACGAAGUUCUGAUUUUCAACAUUAGCUGAAAAUCAUCUCCACACGUGGGGCGUCUCUGUUUUAAGAUCUGGUCAACUGAUGAAAAUGGUUCCCAGUCACUGAGUCUUGUGGACGCUUCAUUCAUGGGCCACCUGCUGAGGUGUGAGUUCUGGUGAAGAAGAACUUUCUGGUUUUAUUUGUUUGUUUUUCAAGGUAUUGAUUUUCUGAAAAUAAAUUGAAUUUAAGUGA
This is a long non-coding RNA of Cheilinus undulatus (humphead wrasse), 385 nucleotides long. RefSeq lists it as uncharacterized. The record is from RefSeq and is a predicted model, not a curated record. NCBI's taxonomy places the organism in Eukaryota, Metazoa, Chordata, Actinopteri, Labriformes, Labridae. The transcript is spliced from 3 exons.